RNAcentral lists this non-coding RNA (77 nucleotides) under Mesorhizobium loti. RNAcentral's name for it is "Fluoride sequence". It matches the Rfam family "Fluoride riboswitch aptamer (crcB RNA motif)". The record is from RNAcentral. Lineage: Bacteria; Pseudomonadati; Pseudomonadota; Alphaproteobacteria; Hyphomicrobiales; Phyllobacteriaceae.
CCGAAAAAUGGGGAUGGGGUUCCCCCGAAACCGCCCACGCUCAGUACGAGUAUCGGGCUGAUGACUCCUGCCAGGCG